GAUGAAGAACGUAGCGAAAUGCGACAAGUAAUGUGAAUUGCAGAAUUCCGUGAAUCAUCGAAUCUUUGAACGCACAUUGCGCCCGCUGGUAUUCCGGCGGGCAUGCCUGUUCGAGCGUCAUUUCAACCCUCAAGCUCUCCGGAGUUUGGUGUUGGGGCGCCUGGGGCUUUUCGACCUCAGGGCCCUCAAGUCCAUCGGCGGGACCGCCAGGACACUGAGCGCAGUAGUAUUAUUUCGCUCGGUAGGAUCUUCCACGGCGGGUCGAUCUGGCCGCUAAACCCCCCAAUUCUCACCAAAGGUUGACCUCGGAUCAGGUAGGAAUACCCGCUGAACUUAAGCAUAUCAAUAAGCGGAGGA
This 357-nucleotide unclassified non-coding RNA is filed under the name soil metagenome. Its description in RNAcentral is "partial contains 5.8S ribosomal RNA, internal transcribed spacer 2, and large subunit ribosomal RNA". The stretch from base 1 to 120 matches the Rfam family "5.8S ribosomal RNA", at positions 35 to 154 of the family's 154-position model. The record is from RNAcentral.